CUGCCACGCGGGAGGCCCGGGUU
RNAcentral lists this non-coding RNA (23 nucleotides) under Cricetulus griseus (Chinese hamster). The record is from RNAcentral. RNAcentral also lists the same sequence under 1 other name. Lineage: Eukaryota; Metazoa; Chordata; Mammalia; Rodentia; Cricetidae.